RNAcentral lists this ribosomal RNA (459 nucleotides) under uncultured bacterium. RNAcentral's name for it is "partial 16S ribosomal RNA". It matches the Rfam family "Bacterial small subunit ribosomal RNA", at positions 338 to 795 of the family's 1533-position model. The record is from RNAcentral.
CCUACGGGUGGCAGCAGUGAGGAAUAUUGGUCAAUGGGCGCGAGCCUGAACCAGCCAAGUCGCGUGAGUGAAGACGGUCCUAUGGAUUGUAAACCUCUUUUGUCGGGGAGCAAACGACGCCACUCGUGGCCUUCCGAGAGUACCCUACGAACAAGCAUCGGCUAACUCCGUGCCAGCAGCCGCGGUAAUACGGGGGAUGCGAGCGUUAUCCGGAUUUAUUGGGUUUAAGGGGUGCGCAGGCGGAAGAUCAAGUCAGCGGUAAAAUUGCGGGGCUCAACCUCUUCGAGCCGUUGAAACUGGUUGGCUUGAGUGAGUGAGAAGGAGGCGGAAUGCGUGGUGUAGCGGUGAAAUGCAUAGAUAUCACGCAGAACUCCGAUUGCGAAGGCAGCAUACCGGAGCUCAACUGACGCUCAUGCACGAAAGUGUGGGUAUCGAACAGGAUUAGAUACCCCUGUAGUC